UCUAGGGGACGUAAGCCUAAGCAGGAUGGCCGUGAGAUGUCUAAGUGUCGCUCCUGGAUAGCUGUCUGCCUGGAUACAGUCCAAUUGAAAUGUAGGUAUGCGGGCAAUAUUAGAAUCCCCCAUAAUAAUGACCGGUUGUCUAAUGGGGAGGGACCAAAUGGAGGCCUUCCGGUUGGUGUAAGGGUGUAAACGGGGCUGGUAGCAAGAAGGGGACCCGGAUUGGUCAUCUACCGAUGAUUCAGAUGGAGAGGGGAGGAGUAAUGGGGGAGAGGAGGGGGAGGAAGAAGAGGAAGAGGUAGGAAGAGGAGAUGGAGCCUGGUGAGACGAUGUGAUGUUCGGUUCUUCCCCUGUUGUGGUAGAUCCAUCUGCAGGAGGGAUCAAAGGAGGUGAAGGAGAACAAGGGUGGAUCUCGGCAAUGAAGGUGAGCAGGUUGGGUUGUUUUUUUGCAUUCUGGUUUGUGUUAUUUAGUUUGACGACUGUUAAAGUGGUCUCCUCCGUCAGAGAAGGCGGUGAGGAGGUCAACAUCAGUGGAGAGGUCAAAGGGCAAAGCUGCCCCUGAGUCGGGUUUCUCCUGCGGGAGAGACGACUGGGUCUGGGGGUUGAACAGUUAAAACAAUGUCGUCCGGAGCCGCCGGUUUGAUGAAGGCUGUGAGGAGUAACCUUGGAAGGAGGAGGCUUCUGUGGUACUGUGUUCUUUCCCUGUUUGGUUUUAUCGAGGAGCUUUGUGAACUCGGCAGGUGACGCUGUUGCCAGCUCUGCAAUGCUUGCCGUGGACCUGACUGUGAGUUCGUUCACCCCUGCGUAUGCACAGGAAGCCGACAAUUUCAAGCCCCGAUUGUAUGCUUUCAGGACCUUCUUGUAUCUUCUUAUCACUUCAAAAGGGCCACGGGCUGCAAGGAGCAAAUCAUAAAGAAAAACUACAUUAUGGACGGUACAUAAAAAUGUGUGUUCACAACAGUGCUAUGAGUUGAAAUGCUUAUUGUAUUGUUAUGUGGCAGCAUACAAGACAAGACAGAAUUCCACCUAGCUCCUUUAAAUAGGUCCACUUUAUGUUAGGGUAGAAUUAAAGGGAUACGUCACCAUUUGGGGAAUUACACCAGUUUCCACUUUCCCUCGAGUUAAGUAGCCUAAUUGAGAUUGACCUUUCUCCAGUUCAUUCAGCCGUUCUGAGUCUGACGGUAGCAUUUUUGGCUCCAGCCAAGCAUAGAUCAUUGAAUCAGAUUAGACCAUUAUCUCGCCCAUUAGCAUCUUGCUCAAACGUAACUAAGAAAUCUGAUAUUUUCCCUGUGUAAUACUUCAGUAAUUACAAAGUGUACCAACAGAGAAUGAACAUGGUGAUCAAUACCGUGGUUUGCACUACUUGACUUAAAGGGAUUAUGCGGAGUGAAUCAACCUGUAGCCCUGUUGUUUCGCAUUGAAAAUGCGAAUGUUGAUUCGCAUUUUCGCAAGUGCUGUCGAUAGGCAUGAGAACGACAGAAUUCCAUGCACGGUAGACCAAAUAGCGAAACGGCAGCCAACGCUAACUACUGAGGGCAUGUGAGUUUCGUUUUCCUAUGCCCGCAUCUGGUCUACGUUGUAACUAUUGCUGUCGUUCUGAUACCUAUUGACAGCACCCGGCAGCCUCAAACAACAGGGCUACGGGUUGAUUCACUCCUGAUAAUCCUUUUAACACAUGGAGGGACUAUUUUCAGAUGUGUCAGCAAAUGUCCUAAUUUACUAUGCUGGAAUGAGAGUAUAGUUCCAUGUUUUAUAGGAAUAGAAAAUCGCCACAUUUCAUUAUCCACUGUCUUUGUACUCUUUGCAACUACAGAAGGAUCAAGUUUUAAUUAGAAUUUUUCUUUGAAUUCUUAGUCACUUUUGAGCAAGAUACUAACAGGCGAGAUGCUAAUGGGCUAAUCUGAUUCAAUAAUCUAUGCUAGGCUGGAGCUUAAAGUACUACUGUCAGACCAAAGUUACUGACCAAGGUAGAGCAACAUAAUACAUUACAAUGGGAGUAGUCUCGCAAAGCCAGACCAAACUACAGCAAGUAGAAUGGUCUGGAACCACGCUAUUUAGAGCCGUCUAUCCGUGGGGAAACUGGGCUGGCCUGUUUUUAUUUCUUUAAACCAAUCAUAAUCGUAGGGGCGGGGCUAACCCCGGGAAGCAGCAGCGGUGCGCAAUACGGGAAAGCCAGAAACCGGAAGGGGAGGAGUAGCGGUGGAAUCUGACGCUAGCGCAAUAGACGCUGUCCAUUUCCGCUCAGCCAGACUACAAUGGGAGUAAACGUGAAUAGUUCCAGUCUGCAUAAGUGGGAGUGUCACAUAACGUCACAAUGUAAACUUUUCAAUUAACUUCUGUAUGAGGUAUGAGGGCUCGACUCUGGGAUUUCCCCCCCUCCCCCUUCUGAAAAUAGAACACAGAAUUUAACAGACAUUUGUGCUUCUCGCUUCACUUUUAACCUCUCUGGUCAAACUCAGAGAAAGGCUGAAUGACCUGGAGAAAGGUCAAUCUCAAAUGUUGAAGACAAGGGGAGGUGGAAAAUGAAUUUGCUCCAUAAAGGAUAGAUUCAACGUUUUACUGGAGUUUUACCUCUUUUGCGGACAUCAGUCACUUUGUGGUGCUUCCUGGCCUUCUUUAUUUUGUUCUUUGUCUUUGAAAGUCUGAGUUUUCCCUUGCCCUUUCGUUUCAUCUUCUCAUCUGAGGAGGAGGAGGAAGAACAGGAGGAGGACCGGCUCAUUGAAGACAAUGAUGAGCAGGAGGCAGUGUCUUCCUCUGAAGAUUGUUCUUCUCUGGGAGCUUUAGACAGGUCUAGACAGUACAAAAAAACAAAGAUUAAACAGAUAUUGCUGAUGCCUUAUACAGAAUACCAUUUCUUCCUUUUUGUUCCAACAAAGGUAAUAUUUUGUGUAAAGUCAAAAUAACCCUAGACCUGGGAUGUGUUACUAUUAGGUGGUUACUAUUAGGUGGUUAAGUGUCGAACCAGGGUAAGUAAAGCUAGAGGUAGUGGUAAAUAUGAUAAUAGAAGAGUCUGGAGUCUCCAUUCUCUUAACUACAGAAAGCCAGCAGGCUACUAUAAGGAGGUUUACCACUUCCUCUAACUUAACUAACCAGGUGUACCACUUAACCUCCUACUUGGAAUAGGUAUAUGUUUGACUGACACUGUAUACAUUUUUGUGUCAUACACCGAAAAUGUAGGCUUGUUGAACCUUACAUGCCAGUUGUUUGCGAAGAGCAUCCCUCUCCUUUAUCACUUUCUGGAGUUUCUUAUCUUGAGACCGCUCUCUCAUCUUGGCCUUUUGGAGGAGAUUCUUCACCGUUGGUGACCGGUCACCUGUCAAAAAACGUCAUUUCAGCAUAGUUGUACAGCUAACACACAGCAAUUUAAUAUUUUUUUUUAACACAGCCUGUUUAUGUUAUAGCAAAUUCGGUAACAAAUACCACGAACAUUGUCUAUCUAGCCAUAACUUUUGAAAGUAAGAGAUUUUGAAAGUAUUGUGCAUCAAAGUUACUGUUAGGAGCAAAAUAUUGCCGUUCUCAUGAAUAGCUUAGAGUAUUUUGGACAUUUAAGUAGUUACUCAGCUGUAAAGUAGCCACUAAGCUGUAAUGUAAUUCAUGCAGAAUAAUAAUUUUUAUACACUAUGACAAGACCUGAGGUGCGUUCAAGUUCAGCGAACAUAGGCGAACGUUCGCAACGAACGCGUUGACCAUAAACAAUUAAUUUUGAACGAUUUUUGAACACCGUUCUAAACAAACUGUAAACGAAAAAAAUGGAUACGAAGGCCAUGGUAUUAGCGGCAGCCUCCAUGUUAAUGGAAGAGUUUACAGAAGAGGGUUUGCAAGUGGUCGACCUCGUUGAAAGCCUACUGCAGACAACCAGUACGGAAAAUUCAAGAAUAGAGGGCUACGUCACCGAAGUUGUACCCACUUACUGCGAUAUAACGUUCAAAUCGCAUUUUAGGAUGCAAAAGACAACAGUUGAAGUAAGGGUGUAGAUAGGCUAUAUGAAACGUUUUAUCUAUUGCUUUCAGUGUAGGA
Molecule: long non-coding RNA, 4014 nt
Organism: Gadus chalcogrammus (walleye pollock)
Lineage: Eukaryota; Metazoa; Chordata; Actinopteri; Gadiformes; Gadidae
Exons: 4
Source: RefSeq, a predicted model, not a curated record